This 253-nucleotide ribosomal RNA is filed under the name uncultured bacterium. RNAcentral describes it as "partial 16S ribosomal RNA". It matches the Rfam family "Bacterial small subunit ribosomal RNA", at positions 524 to 776 of the family's 1533-position model. The record is from RNAcentral.
UACAGAGGGUGCAAGCGUUAAUCGGAAUUACUGGGCGUAAAGCGUGCGUAGACGGUUAUUUAAGUCAGGUGUGAAAGCCCAGGGCUCAACCUUGGAAUUGCAUUUGAGACUGAAUAGCUAGGGUGCGGAAGAGGGAAGCGGAAUUUCCGGUGUAGCGGUGAAAUGCGUAGAUAUCGGAAGGAACACCAGUGGCGAAAGCGGCUUCCUGGUCCAGCACCGACGUUCAGGCACGAAAGCUAGGGGAGCAAACAGG